GCUCGUAGUUGGAUUUUGGGUCGGGGGCACCGGUCCGCCGUUCCGGUGUGCACUGGUGGCCCCUUCCUUUCUGCCGGGGACGUGCGUCGCACUUAAUUGGGUGGCGUUCGGAGUCGGCGUUGUUACUUUGAAAAAAUUAGAGUGUUCAAAGCAAGCCAUCGCUCUGAAUACAUUAGCAUGGAAUAACAUGAUAGGACUCUGGUCUUAUUUUGUUGGUUUCCGAGACUGGAGUAAUGAUUAAGAGGGACAGUCGGGGGCAUCCGUAUUUCAUUGUCAGAGGUGAAAUUCUUGGAUUUAUGAAAGACGAACUUCUGCGAAAGCAUUUGCCAAGGAUGUUUUCAUUAAUCAAGAACGAAAGUUGGGGGCUCGAAGAUGAUCAGAUACCAUCCUAGUCUCAACCAUAAACGAUGCCGACUAGGGAUUGGCGGAUGUUCCUUAGAUGACUCCGCCAGCACCUUAUGAGAAAUCAUUAAGUUUUUGGGUUCCGGGGGGAGUAUGG
This 499-nucleotide ribosomal RNA is filed under the name Prasinoderma coloniale. Its description in RNAcentral is "SSU rRNA". It matches the Rfam family "Eukaryotic small subunit ribosomal RNA", at positions 626 to 1128 of the family's 1831-position model. Lineage: Eukaryota; Viridiplantae; Prasinodermophyta; Prasinodermophyceae; Prasinodermales; Prasinodermaceae. The record is from RNAcentral.